RNAcentral lists this long non-coding RNA (1915 nucleotides) under Oryza sativa (Asian cultivated rice). RNAcentral describes it as "long non-coding RNA (OSAT_LNC000309)". Lineage: Eukaryota; Viridiplantae; Streptophyta; Magnoliopsida; Poales; Poaceae. The record is from RNAcentral.
GAGCCCCACCAGGACACCACUGAUCAGAAGAACCUUGCUACUCAUCUUGGCUCUCAGUAUCUGCAGAGAAGACAGAAUGGAUGACUGAACUGGUUGAGGUGCUUGAGCUGAUGAACUGAAUUGCCUUUGUGCGCCUAUAUAUACAUGCGAAAGAUGCUCUACAGUUCCAUUGACACUGUUAGUAGUUGUCUAUCAUUUAAUGGUUUGAUUCGUCCAGCUAGUUCAGCAUGACGGUGAUCUGCUCGCUUUCAAUUCACAUGAUGAAGCUUCCAUUGUGAGUUCUUUAACUCAAAUCUGUGUCCAAAUUUGUAGGUUAGAGCGAGGCCAUGGCACUUUUAGCUUCCAUGGAUAUUGGCAGUCUUCUUUCCAUGCAGAAUGGAUUUCCUCCCCGAAAGUCUGCUGAUUUAAUGGGGAUCGGUGCUUGCCACCUACUCAGUACACUUAACCAUGCCUCGAGCUGGAUUUCAUGCUGUGGUGGCAAAAUUGAAUUUCUCAAUUUAAUGGAAGCACAGUAUGGUAAGAUUCCCUGGCCCAGUUGUUAUGUGGAAGCACCAAAUUUGAUUUUACAAUUGUUUUUGUGUAAAAAGCGAUGCUUUGGUCUAAUUCCGCUUGUUAAUUCUUGUAAGUUUCUUGGAACUGAUUUGUGCCGCAGUCUUUCAUGCUAUACAUUAUCAGCACAUUACAUUACAGAAUUGUGCUGCAAAGUUUUCGAGUUUUUCUGAUCUAUCUGGCUGCUUCUAGCUAGCGUUAGUUUACUUGGUAUGCUGUAGACCUUGUGCUGUUAGUUUUUUUUAAUUGAAAACAUUUCUGUUUUAGUUACAAACAGACCUUGCUGCUCUUAAAUAAAAAAUAUAUAUAGCAAUUAGUGUAAUGCUGCUGCAGUCAUUCAUCAAUAUCGCACCUGCGAUUUCAUCAUGCUAUCCAUCACUCACAUUUUCGUCCCUCCUAUAAACAAAACUCCUACUCCUUAAUCUUGACAGCGUCUGACAUUGCAGAUGAAAUGGAGCUAUGCAUGUGUGAUCUCCUGUCAAGAAUUACUUACAAUGACCACAAAAAAAGGCAGAAAAUUACCAGGUAAUGACUAGUAGCCUGCAUCCAACUGUCUAUUGCCCUUAACUUCUGGAACAGUCGAACUCUCUGAAACCAUACGUACAUACUCCCUCCAUUUCACAAUAUAAGUCAUUCUAACAUUUCCUACAUUUAUAUUGAUGUUAAUGAAUCUAGACAAAUAUAUAUAUCUAGAUUCAUUAAUAUCAAUAUAAAUGUGAAAAAUGGUAGAAUGACUUGCAUUGUGAAACGGAAGAAGUAUGGGACUGAACUAACCGUUACAGUUGCAGCUGAGCAGGACCAGGCCAGGAGAUAAUAGAGGAAUGGUUGAAGAUACCAGCAACGGCUGUACUUGCGCAAGAUGUGAUUGGCCCUGGGGCUGAAACUCCAUGUGAUCCGUCGUGCAUUUGCUGGAUAUCACUGUGUGUCUGAGUGGCUGCCUUUAAUUUUCCGAAGGGCAGAGUUACUUUGGUGAUUGUUGGGCCCCUGAAAGCUGGGCUAGCACAUAGUAUUUCUGUUGGCACAGUCCUAAUACUCGACCUAAGAUGUUUUACAUAGGAUUAAAUGAGCUAGCCGCCACAUAAGAUUUUUUAUGAUUUGGUGAAAGAUUUAAUGGUGAAAAAAAAAGAAAAUAGAUUUUGCAUUGACUUGGUAUUCUACAUGACAUCCAAGAUAUGAUGAGAUAUAAGUGAUAUUAAAUCACUGUACUGAAUUAGUAGUGUGUGCAUAUUAUCACAUCUCUCUCAUGGGUUAUGGAAUAAAUAAAUCCACAGUGUUGGCUACUGUCUGUAAAAUUUACUAGUAACAAUAUCAUUGGGCAGAAUUGCAUAAACUAAUUGAUGAAAAAAGAAAUAAAGUUGAACCUUAA